RNAcentral lists this ribosomal RNA (161 nucleotides) under Menonvillea cuneata. RNAcentral describes it as "5.8S ribosomal RNA". It matches the Rfam family "5.8S ribosomal RNA". Rfam says of the family: 5.8S ribosomal RNA (5.8S rRNA) is a component of the large subunit of the eukaryotic ribosome. It is transcribed by RNA polymerase I as part of the 45S precursor that also contains 18S and 28S rRNA. Functionally, it is thought that 5.8S rRNA may be involved in ribosome translocation. The record is from RNAcentral. Lineage: Eukaryota; Viridiplantae; Streptophyta; Magnoliopsida; Brassicales; Brassicaceae. RNAcentral also lists the same sequence under 3 other names.
AACGACUCUCGGCAACGGAUAUCUCGGCUCUCGCAUCGAUGAAGAACGUAGCGAAAUGCGAUACUUGGUGUGAAUUGCAGAAUCCCGUGAACCAUCGAGUUUUUGAACGCAAGUUGCGCCCCAAGCCUUUUGGCCGAGGGCACGUCUGCCUGGGUGUCACA